This 1229-nucleotide long non-coding RNA is filed under the name Pogona vitticeps (central bearded dragon). Its description in RNAcentral is "lncRNA (ENSPVIG00000001673.1)". Lineage: Eukaryota; Metazoa; Chordata; Lepidosauria; Squamata; Agamidae. The record is from RNAcentral.
UAAGAGGGACGGCUUAUAGAGAAAGGGCCUUUUCGGCAGCUGCCCCCAGACUAUGGAAUGCCCUCCCGACUGAGAUUCCUCUGGCGCCGACGCUGAUGACAUUUCGGCGCCAGGUCAAAACCUUCCUGUUCCAAAUGGCUUUUAACUGAAAUAAUAUCAGCUGUAGGUCUGAUGGCAAUUUUUAGAAUAUAUAUUUUAAUUGCAUUUUAAUUAUUUUGCCCUUUUAUUGUAUUUUAAAUGCUGUAAGCCGCCCAGAGACCUUGAGUGUGGGCGGCAUAUAAGUUAAAUAAAUAAAUAAAUAAAUAAAUAAAUAAAUAAAUAAAUAAAUAAAUAAAUAAAUAAAUAGGUCCUUCACCAAGAGGGCCAAAGCAGUCCCCGUCCCAUAACCCAGUCUGAAGUGAAAUGGAUCUAGAGUGUCUCCUCUAGGAAGGAAACCUCGGAGCAAGUGCCUCCGCCAAGACAGACCCCGCCAGACUCCCUGGGAAUGGUCUCCAGGCAUGAGGGGGACCCCUUUCACUCCGGGAGGCGGGAAAGAAGGAAGGCGGCGAGAGACCCCUUUCUCUCCCCCAAAGGGGGCAGGCUUCGCAUUGGGGGGGGGGGGUGCGUGGGUGGGCGUCUCUCCAGCAGGGACUGGGAAUGGGCUCGGGCGUCACGUGAUAACAGUCACGUGAUCGGAGGUAGGCAUGGUGCUGGUUCCCAAGUGGGGAGAAGGAGAGGGGAGCAGGGAAGUGGGGUGAAGGUUAGACCUGGCGCGUCCGCCCCAAAAAAGAAACCGGGGUUCUGGAGACCGUGGGAAGGAGGCAAGAGAGGUGAGCGUUCCGGGUGCAGGGAUUUCAGCCGGCAAGGCAAGAUCUGAUCGGCCCAUCUUGGAGAACAUGGAGAAUACAUCCCAGCAUGACACAGGGUUUCUUAAUGUAAUAGUCAAGGUGGAAGAAGAGGAAAAGCUGAAUGAGCGUGAAUUAGAGACUUUCUCAAGGACCAGCUCAGGUGAAGGAUGGGCUACCAAGGGCCAUUAACUGUAAAGAAAUGUCUGAGUCACAUUGCAGCUUUCUAGCCUCUUUCCCCUUGCAGUGGUUCCCCAGUGGUUCUGCUGCAGGACUGUGUGGUGGAAGCAGACCUUUCUGCAGCCUAUAUUUUAUUGUUAGCAGUGCGUUCCUAAGUGCGUUUCACGUAAUUAUACUUGUAUGUAAGCAGAAGACUUUAAUAAAAACGGCGAAUUCCACCCUGCA